RNAcentral lists this unclassified non-coding RNA (370 nucleotides) under soil metagenome. RNAcentral's name for it is "partial contains 5.8S ribosomal RNA, internal transcribed spacer 2, and large subunit ribosomal RNA". The stretch from base 1 to 120 matches the Rfam family "5.8S ribosomal RNA", at positions 35 to 154 of the family's 154-position model. The record is from RNAcentral.
GAUGAAGAACGUAGUGAAAUGCGAUAAGUAAUGUGAAUUGCAGAAUUCAGUGAAUCAUCGAAUCUUUGAACGCAUCUUGCGCUCCUUGGUAUUCCGAGGAGCAUGCCUGUUUGAGUGUCAUUAAAGUUCUCAACCACAUUACUAGAUAUGUGGCUUGGAUGUGGGGGUUUGCAGGCUUUCUCUGAGGGUCUGCUCCUCUGAAAUGCAUUAGUGGUAUUCCUGAGCUUUACUACAGAUGUGAUAAUUUAUCUACAUCCCAAAAGUAUGCUUCAGCAACACCCUCCUAACAAGCGAAAGCACAUUUUGAUGAAUUUGACCUCAAAUCAGGUAGGACUACCCGCUGAACUUAAGCAUAUCAAUAAGCGGAGGA